This 582-nucleotide ribosomal RNA is filed under the name Candidatus Kaiserbacteria bacterium. RNAcentral's name for it is "partial 23S ribosomal RNA". It matches the Rfam family "Eukaryotic large subunit ribosomal RNA", at positions 1311 to 1870 of the family's 3401-position model. Lineage: Bacteria; Candidatus Kaiseribacteriota. The record is from RNAcentral.
CCUGAAAAUGGAUGGCGCUCAAGCGUCGUGCCUAUACUCAGCCGUCAGAGUAAAUGGCGAAGCUCUGACGAGUAGGAGGGCGUGGAGGUCGUGACGCAGCCUUUGGCGUGAGCCUGGGUGAAACGGCCUCUAGUGCAGAUCUUGGUGGUAGUAGCAAAUAUUCAAAUGAGAACUUUGAAGACUGAAGUGGAGAAAGGUUCCAUGUGAACAGCAGUUGGACAUGGGUUAGUCGAUCCUAAGAGAUAGGGAAACUCCGUUUCAAAGUGCCCAAUCUCGGGCCGUGUAUCGAAAGGGAAUCGGGUUAAUAUUCCCGAACCGGAACGCGGAUAUUCUAGCCUCUCGGGGUUAGAUGUGCGGCAACGCAACUGAACUCGGAGACGUCGGCAGGAGCCCUGGGAAGAGUUCUCUUUUCUUGUUAACGGUCUGACACCAUGGAAUCUGAUUACCAGGAGAUAUGGUUUGAUGACCGGUAAAGCACCACAGUUCUUGUGGUGUCCGGUGCGCUCCUGAAGGCCCUUGAAAAUCCGAGGGAAAGAUUGAUUUUCGCGUCCGUUCGUACUCAUAACCGCAGCAGGUCUCCUA